GACGAACGCUGGCGGCGUGCUUAACACAUGCAAGUCGAGCGGUAAGGCCUUUCGGGGUACACGAGCGGCGAACGGGCGAGUAACACGCGGGUGAUCUGCCCUGCACUUCGGGAUAAGCCUGGGAAACUGGGUCUAAUACCGGAUAGGACCUCCUAUCGCAUGGUGGGGGGGGGAAAGAUUUAUCGGUGCAGGAUGGGCCCGCGGCCUAUCAGCUUGUUGGUGGGGUAAUGGCCUACCAAGGCGACGACGGGUAGCCGACCUGAGAGGGUGACCGGCCACACUGGGACUGAGACACGGCCCAGACUCCUCCGGGAGGCAGCAGUGGGGAAUAUUGCACAAUGGGCGAAAGCCUGAUGCAGCGCCGCCGCGUGAGGGAUGACGGCCUUCGGGUUGUAAACCUCUUUCAGCAGGGACGAAGCGCAAGUGACGGUACCUGCAGAAGAAGCACCGGCUAACUACGUG
This 462-nucleotide ribosomal RNA is filed under the name uncultured bacterium. RNAcentral describes it as "partial 16S ribosomal RNA". It matches the Rfam family "Bacterial small subunit ribosomal RNA", at positions 28 to 507 of the family's 1533-position model. The record is from RNAcentral.